CUGGAGGCUCCUGGGAGACCUUCUGGAAAUGUGAUUUAUUCCAGAGUGGAAGCACCAGGAGAAGGGUCACUCGGUAGCAGGACCACAGCCUUGCCUAAAACUCUCAGGACUAGAGACUGUAAGUCAGCAGAAGGAGAAGGUUUGGACAAGUCACUGCCAUGACAUCAUUCAGCAAUGCAAAUUGUGGCAAGAAAAACUACUCCCAUCUGCAGCCCCAUAUAGUCCCUUCCUGCUGCUGUUC
Molecule: long non-coding RNA, 241 nt
Filed under: Manacus vitellinus (golden-collared manakin)
Lineage: Eukaryota; Metazoa; Chordata; Aves; Passeriformes; Pipridae
Description: lncRNA (ENSMVIG00005014877.1)
Source: RNAcentral